CCUACGGGAGGCAGCAGUGGGGAAUAUUGCACAAUGGGGGAAACCCUUAUGCAGCGACGCCGCGUGAGUGAAGAAGUAUUUCGGUAUGUAAAGCUCUAUCAGCAGGGAAGAAAUAAAGUCCUUCGGACUUUGGACGGUACCUGACUAAGAAGCCCCGGCUAACUACGUGCCAGCAGCCGCGGUAAUACGUAGGGGGCAAGCGUUAUCCGGAUUUACUGGGUGUAAAGGGAGCGUAGACGGCAGCGCACGUCUGGAGUGAAAUCCCAUGGCUUAACCAUGGAACUGCUUUGGAAACUGUGCAGCUGGAGUGCAGGAGAGGUAAGCGGAAUUCCUAGUGUAGCGGUGAAAUGCGUAGAUAUUAGGAGGAACACCAGUGGCGAAGGCGGCUUACUGGACUGUAACUGACGUUGAGGCUCGAAAGCGUGGGGAGCAAACAGGAUUAGAUACCCCAGUAGUC
This 457-nucleotide ribosomal RNA is filed under the name uncultured bacterium. RNAcentral's name for it is "partial 16S ribosomal RNA". It matches the Rfam family "Bacterial small subunit ribosomal RNA", at positions 338 to 795 of the family's 1533-position model. The record is from RNAcentral.